GCCGUGAUAGUAUAGUGGCAGUACAUUGCGUUGUGGCCGCACUGACCCUGGUUCGAUUCCAGGUCACGGCA
Transfer RNA from Lichtheimia corymbifera, 71 nucleotides. It matches the Rfam family "tRNA". From Rfam's summary of the family: Transfer RNA (tRNA) molecules are approximately 80 nucleotides in length. Their secondary structure includes four short double-helical elements and three loops (D, anti-codon, and T loops). Further hydrogen bonds mediate the characteristic L-shaped molecular structure. tRNAs have two regions of fundamental functional importance: the anti-codon, which is responsible for specific mRNA codon recognition, and the 3' end, to which the tRNAs corresponding amino acid is attached (by aminoacyl-tRNA synthetases). tRNAs cope with the degeneracy of the genetic code in two manners: having more than one tRNA (with a specific anti-codon) for a particular amino acid; and 'wobble' base-pairing, i.e. permitting non-standard base-pairing at the 3rd anti-codon position. The record is from Rfam. Lineage: Eukaryota; Fungi; Mucoromycota; Mucoromycetes; Mucorales; Lichtheimiaceae.